Molecule: long non-coding RNA, 391 nt
Organism: Balaenoptera musculus (blue whale)
Lineage: Eukaryota; Metazoa; Chordata; Mammalia; Artiodactyla; Balaenopteridae
Exons: 3
Source: RefSeq, a predicted model, not a curated record
CACGCGUCUUCUCCGACCAAAGGCGCCUCAGGGCGGCCCGGGUUCCCGCCCCACGGCCUCGGGCGCUGCUUCCGCAGUGAGAACCGCCGCUCCGUUUCCAAAGGUUCCUUGUCUGAGGGAGCGACUGCGGAGGCUGUGGACCAGCCGCCGUGCGUAGGAAGCGUCCUCAGCCGGCUGAGCGCGGAGCGGGGAGAUUCGAGGAUGUUUCUGGGGAGAAAUCCCAGCACGAGCUCAGAGGAAGGGGAGAUCCCUUGAGUGGGACGCGAACACACUCAAUACUCAAUAUCGGGACCUUCGAGGAGAAUGAGCUGGGGACCCGCUUUCCGAGUCAUGUUGGAACCAGAACCCCAGUUCCCUGAUCAGGGAUCAAACCUGUGCCCCCUGCAGUGGA